GAUGAACGCUGGCGGCGUGCUUAACACAUGCAAGUCGAACGGAGUUUACAUGUGAGCGGAGGGUGCUUGCAUCUAACAAUCUUUUGUAAACUUAGUGGCGAACGGGUGAGUAACGCGUGAGGAACCUGCCUCUCAGUGGGGGACAACAGUUGGAAACGACUGCUAAUACCGCAUAAUGUAUAUUGGGGGCAUCCCUAAUAUACCAAAGCUUUAUGUGCUAGAAAGAUGGUCUCGCGUCUGAUUAGCUAGAUGGCGGGGUAACGCCCACCAUGGCGACGAUCAGUAGCCGGUCUGAGAGGAUGGAACGGCCACAUUGGGACUGAGAUACGGCCAGACUCCGUACGGGAGCAGCA
Molecule: ribosomal RNA, 353 nt
Filed under: uncultured bacterium
Lineage: Bacteria
Description: bacterial SSU rRNA
Rfam family: Bacterial small subunit ribosomal RNA
Source: RNAcentral